GACGAACGCUGGCGGCGUGCUUAACACAUGCAAGUCGAACGGAAAGGCCCUUCGGGGUAUUCGAGUGUUGAACGGGUGAGUAACACGUGGGUGAUCUGCCCUGCACUUUGGGAUAAGCCUGGGAAACUGGGUCUAAUACCGAAUAGGACCACGCGCUUCAUGGUGUGUGGUGGAAAGCUUUUGCGGUGUGGGAUGGGCCCGCGGUCUAUCAGCUUGUUGGUGGGGUAAUGGCCUACCAAGGCGACGACGGGUAGCCGGCCUGAGAGGGUGACCGGCCACACUGGGACUGAGAUACGGCCCAGACUCCUACGAGAGGCAGCAGUGGGGAAUAUUGCACAAUGGGCGCAAGCCUGAUGCAGCGACGCCCGCGUGAGGGAUGACGGUCUUCGGGUUGUAAACCUCUUUCGAUAGGGACGAAGCGCAAGUGACGGUACCUAUAGAAGAAGCACCGGCCAACUACGUGCCAGCAGCCGCGGUAAUACGUAGGGUGCGAUCGUUGUCCGGAAUUACUGGGCGUAAAGAGCUCGUAGGUGGUUUGUCGCGUUGUUCGUGAAAACUCACAGCUUAACUGUGGGCGUGCGGGCGAUACGGGCAGACUAGAGUACUGCAGGGGAGACUGGAAUUCCUGGUGUAGCGGUGGAAUGCGCAGAUAUCAGGAGGAACACCGGUGGCGAAGGCGGGUCUCUGGGCAGUAACUGACGCUGAGGAGCGAAAGCGUGGGGAGCGAACAGAAUUAGAUACCCUGGUAGUCCACGCCGUAAACGGUGGGUACUAGGUGUGGGUUCCUUCCUUGGGAUCCGUGCCGUAGCUAACGCAUUAAGUACCCCGCCUGGGGAGUACGGCCGCAAGGCUAAAACUCAAAGGAAUUGACGGGGGCCCGCACAAGCGGCGGAGCAUGUGGAUUAAUUCGAUGCAACGCGAAGAACCUUACCUGGGUUUGACAUGCACAGGACGCCGGCAGAGAUGUCGGUUCCCUUGUGGCCUGUGUGCGGGUGGUGCAUGGCUGUCGUCAGCUCGUGUCGUGAGAUGUUGGGUUAAGUCCCGCAACGAGCGCAACCCUUGUCCUAUGUUGCCAGCGGGUUAUGCCGGGGACUCGUAGGAGACUGCCGGGGUCAACUCGGAGGAAGGUGGGGAUGACGUCAAGUCAUCAUGCCCCUUAUGUCCAGGGCUUCACACAUGCUACAAUGGCCGGUACAAAGGGCUGCGAUGCCGUGAGGUGGAGCGAAUCCUUUCAAAGCCGGUCUCAGUUCGGAUCGGGGUCUGCAACUCGACCCCGUGAAGUCNGAGUCGCUAGUAAUCGCAGAUCAGCAACGCUGCGGUGAAUACGUUCCCCGGCCU
This 1338-nucleotide ribosomal RNA is filed under the name uncultured bacterium. RNAcentral describes it as "bacterial SSU rRNA". It matches the Rfam family "Bacterial small subunit ribosomal RNA", at positions 28 to 1381 of the family's 1533-position model. The record is from RNAcentral.